This is an RNA transcript of Ahaetulla prasina, 13776 nucleotides long. It is a transcript of the gene named opsin 5, with no coding region annotated. The transcript is spliced from 8 exons. NCBI's taxonomy places the organism in Eukaryota, Metazoa, Chordata, Lepidosauria, Squamata, Colubridae. The record is from RefSeq and is a predicted model, not a curated record.
UGCCCACAGAACCGUUAGCAACAAAUUUUACCACUGGGACGCUGGUUAGUUGGGCAACUAUUUCUGGGUGAAUAGAUGGGUUAAAGCAGGGAUUCUGAAAGUGCUUGACCCAAUUACCCCUUUCCUCAGUCUUGAAUAAUGUCAUUAACAUGAUCCCCACAAAGAGAGAUAAUGCUGUUUUACCCAGUUGUCUCAGCAGCUGGAGUCAACUGAAUCCUCAACUUACAAACAAGUAAUUGCAAAUUGCUGCAUUAUCACCCAGGAUAGGCCCUAAAGAUCCUACUCUAGUUCAAGUACUUCUGGGUUAAAAAGUCUGACUACAGGCAAGGUAAUCGAGGGAACAAGGACCAUUCUUUUGAAGAGGAUCUUAGUGACUCCAGAGAUUCCCCAAUCUCUGUAAAAGGGCCUUUAGGUAAAGGUAAAGGUUUCCCUCGCACAUACGUGCUAGUUGUUGCCAACUCUAGGGGGUGGUGCUCAUCUCUGUUUCAAAGCCGAAGAGCCAGUGCUGUCCGAAGACAUCUCUGUGGUCAUGUGGCCGGCAUGACUCAACACCAAAGGCUCACAAAAGGCUGUUACCUUCCAUCAAACGUGUUAUUCUACUUGCAUCUUUAUGUGCUUUCGAAACUGCUAGGUUAGCUUCUUGGGAGCUCACCCCGUUACACGGCAGCACUAGGGAUUCGAACCGCUGAGCUGCCAACCUUUUGAUCGACAAGCUCAAAGUCCUAGCCCCUGAACCACCACGUCCCCCCCCAAAAAAAAGGUCCUUUACCACUUCCCAAAUUUGCCAACUACAUACUUUUCUGCUGGGUUGAGUAAAAUGAUCAAAUUGCUCUUGAAAAGCUACAGGCUGUGGCUUGUGGUGUCUCUUAAAGACCAUACAUUUUAAUUACAAAGUUCCAAACCAUAUGAGGCUAGGAUAUUGAAAAACUACCUCUUCCCAUUUAAUUGUUGUUAGUUGCGAAGUCGUAUCUGACCCAUCGCGAUCCCAAGGACAACAUUCCCCCAGGCCUUCCUGUCUGCUACCAUCCCCUAGAGUCCAUUUAGGCUCACGCCAACUGCUUCAGUGACUCUAUCCAGCCACCUCAUUCUCUGCCACCCCUUCUUCUUUUGACCAUUUAGAGCAGUGGUGGGUUUCAAAAAUGUUUACUACUGGUUCUGUGGGUGUGGCUUGGUGGGCGUGGCAGAGGAAGGUUACUGCAAAAUCCCCAUUUCCUCCCCAUCAGCUGGGACUUGGGAGGCAGAGAAUAGAUGGGGGCGGGGCCAGUGAGAAUUUUUACUACCAGUUCUCCGAACUACUCAAAAUUUCCACUACUUGUUCUCCAGAACUUGUCAGAACCUGCUGAAACCCACCUCUGAUUUAGAGCCCCCCAUAAUUUCCUGUCUUCCUCAGAAGCUUGUAGUGUAUGUCAUUCCCCCCCCACCCAUAAGGGAUCAGGUUGGGGAGGGUAUAGGAAAUUGAAGUAUGUGGAAGCAGCAAAAUAAUACACUUAUUCUUUAUCUUUACUCUUCCAGAUGUUAUUCAUGUAGACAUUGCAAUUCUUCCAAGUGCCUUACACCUUCUGAUCUCAGGGAUGCAAUCACCAUGUUGAUCAAUUUCUAGAGCCCAGGAAGAUGAAGUCCUUUACUAUUUCUCAUUGUCCAGCUGCACUAUGACCUGUGUGUUUUCUCUGCAGUUGUCUUUAUCUUUAUUUUCUUGAUGUUAAAGUGCAGCCCAAAUCUUUCAGGUUCCUCUUUGUCUCUCAGGAUUAGCCAGGAAUAGCCAUUCCAGAUGUUCUAUCAUCUGCAAAUUGAAGAUUGUUGUAUAAAAUGUAUAAAAGUGCACAUGCAUGUUUAAAUUUAACAGACCUUUGGAACUAAUGGAAUUAUACUCAUGAAGCCUGCCUCUCUUCCAGGUGAUUUAUCUUUCUCCUGGGGCUAGUUAAAAAAAAGGAAUAUCUCAUCCGUAAUUGUGGAUCUCUUUACAGAGUUUAUUUAUCUCCUUAGUCAGGACAUGCAGGUACACUAGAGGUACAGCAGGAACUUAUGGUAUUCGACAGGCAGCCUGGAGAACACUCGACUGUCCGGCCCAUUCUCCAAAUUGGCUCUCCUGGCUUCUGCUAUAGCUUCCUGUAGCUGCUCCUUGGCUGCAGUGCUUCCGUCGGCUUCUGUCUCAGGUCCCAAGAACUCCAAACUGUUGCCCAGCAUCUUCCCAUCACAAGGACUCACCUGCCUAUCCUCACCCUGCUAUUCCUCGCCCAAAGCUUCCCGCCCUUCAUUGUUGCCCCUGUAGCUGUAGUGGGGGAGGGGGCUAGUUGCAAAUGCUUUCCUUUCUGAAGGGUCCUUCGUGCUCUCUGAGCUUGCUUGUUUUCUUGCAGACAUUUCAUUACCUAAACUCAGAGAGAGCCAAGGACCCCACAUUUCAACCCUGACCUACAAAUAUUCUCUUUUAUUGGCUUUUAUUUCUCUCUGAUCUCAGUUCUCCCUCCGGAUUUCUGCCCACCUUAGAAUCAGGUUCUUUUACAUGUUUCCGAGAUAGGGCGUGCUCUCUCUGCCUUCUUCCAAAUCAGUUCUUCCACCAUCUAUCCCUUUGCCUGGCCUUUGGGGCUUAAUUAAACCCUAACCUGGGUUUAGGCCGCCUUUUGUAGGAAAUCUUCUUGCCUCUUCCUCUCCCCAAGAUAUGCAGCUCUGCUUGCUUACGAGGACCCUGCAUCUGGAGACCUGGGCAUUUAUCCAGCAUACCUUUGCCGUUGUGGCUUUUUCCUCCUCCCCUCAAAGCAAGGGGCUGCUCAAGUUACAGGACCUUCACUUCCCGUAGAAACUGCAAAAAAAAAAAAGGAAAGGAAAGGAAAGGAAAGGAAAGGAAAGGAAAGGAAAGGAAAGGAAAGGAAAGGAAAGGGGGGAAAAAGGAAAAAAGGAGAGGGGUUUAUCCUAAACAGAAGAAAGGAACGAAGCAACGAGAAGGAAAAGGGAAAGAAAAGAGAAGUUGCAUUCCUUAGGAGGAAGGAGAAGUGGAGAGCAGCUGCUACUGGUAUUAUUCUGCCCUCCUUCUCUGCCUCUCAGAACCAGAGUACAACUGAGCAGUGCAAAAAUCUUAGAAAUAAGUAAAUAAAAUUAGCCUGUUUAACAAUAAAGAAUUUAAAAACGUUUGAAGAAGCAAGAUUUAAUAUAUAAGUUCCAAAGAUUUUUCUGCUUUCCACAGUAAAGCAAUGUUUCAAUAGCUGCUCCUUUUAAACAGUUUCCAUUCUGAAAAUCUAAGGCAAUCUCAUCCAUCUGCUUUAGAGAUGACCCGGGAGCAAUUGUCUCCUGUAAAUACAGCAUAUGGAUUGUGAUGCACUUCCAUCACAAAUCCAUAACUUCGUAUGUUAAAGAGCACAUUUAUCCAUUAGGGAUUCAAUUUUAUGGAUCUAUAUACUCUCAGUCAGCAGUUUUAAUAAUCAAAUGCAUUAUCUAAGCUGUUGCACAUUAGCCGUUUUUGAGAAUUAAGCAACAAGAAUCAGAAUUAUAGAUGCAAAGGUGAGAUGGGCUAUUUAGGGAGAGGGUUAAAUGAUUAAUACAAUUGUUCACAGAUUUCUUCUUGCGUAAAUUUAGUUUGGGCUUUACCAAUGCAAGUAAUAGGUGUUAAAAUGUGAAGUGUCUCAGUAUAUAAAGACAAUUCUCUUAAAGCUAAAAAUCCUUAAAUACUGUACAGUAAAAACACAUCCAAAAUUAAUGGUGCUCAGUUAAAAGUUUGAGUUGCACUCUGACUUUGAUAAAGCAGUUGGAAAGUCAACAGUCUCUUUGCAUUCUCACAUUCUUUAUUUAUUCCAGAUCGCUUUGGAAGGUGCAAAUGUAAUGCAAAGUGUCAUUUCACUUCAGUGCACUUUUUCCUCUCAUGACAGUAUGCAUUGGCCCCAGAGAAUUUGAAAACCCGACUGGAGAAUUUUGUGUCAAGUACUUCUUGUUUUGCAAGAGGCAAUUGGAAAAUAUGUAUCCUUUCUAAUUGAUAUCUUUGGGGUUAGAGAAUACUAUAUAACAGAUGCUCUUUAGUUAGAAAAUAUACCAGCUGAACAGAAAAUCCUAUCCUUGCAUAUUGUACAUUUUGUUGGAAGAAAUGUCCAUCUGGGUUCAGUUGCAAGUGGGGAGAAAGACACUGGAAACAUGGAGACUGCUUGAAAACAUGGUUUAAUGGUGGACAGGACCACAUGAUUUUGAGGUCCUGGGCAAAAAAGCACAUGGAUGUGUGAGAGAGAUUUAUACCCUCUGUUGGGCUUUGAAUUUGAGCUUGUAUUCUGAUUGGUUGUCCGACUCCCAUGGGCCAUGCAGGGGUAACUUUGUAGGCUGUCUUUUGAGUCCCAGGCUUGGUUGAAUCUUGCUGGGUGAUGAUGUAAUAAAGAGUGUUUUGGGCAAUUCCUAUUAUGGCUGAGGGUUAAUCCUACCUUUGUUGGAUCUUGGGUGAGGGCAUUUGCUUAUGAAUAGACCUAGCUAUCUCUAUUUUUAAAGUGCUGACAUCUGCUGUGGGCUAUUUUUUUUUUUUGGUUUACAUUUAUAUCCCGCCCUUCUCUGAAGACUCAGGGCGGCUUACAGUGUGUAAGGCAAUAGUCUCAUUCUAUUUGUAUAUUUACAAAGUCAACUUAUUGCCCCCCCAACAAUCUGGGUCCUCAUUUUACCUACCUUAUAAAGGAUGGAAGGCUGAGUCAACCUUGGACCUGGUGGGGCUUGAACCUGCAGUAAUUGCAGGCAGCUGGUUUUAAUAACAGGCUUCUUAUAGCCUUGAGCCACCACGGCCCUAUUGAGAGUGUGGGGGCUAUUAAGAGUGAGUCUGCUUCCUGCCAUCCGGAGAGGUAUAAUAUUCUGCCUUUUUAAUAUUUCCUAGAAUAUUUCAUUUUUCUAGGAGAGAGGUGGGUGCUAACUUCCUACAAUUUUUUAAAAAAAUCUAAUUCUCAGUUUGCAGAUAAGAAAAAAAAAUAGAAAUUAUUUCUCUGCUAUAACUUUCUUAAAUUUAAUUUGUCACAUGCCUUAACUUUUAAAAAAGAAAUAGAGCUCUAAGAAAAAGAGAAAAGGAGAAUUCAAAGUCUACUGGAUAUAUUAAAAUAUCUAUAAAUUUGUUCUUAAUUUGCUAAGUGUGCUUCCACGCAAAUUCUAAAAUAUAUUCACUUUGAUAAUCUUAUUUCAUGAUUAAUUAAUUGCCUUAAUAAGCACGUAAAAAGUUAAUAUCUUGCUAUGAACAUUACUGAAAUUGUGGUUAUUGUGCUUUAAUCACAAAAAUCUAGUCAUUAAUGAAAUAAUGAUGAAGAGUUUAAAGAUUAUAAGUAUGCUUCUGAUAAUCUUUAAAUGAGACUAAUUCAGCCAAAAAAUUGUUUCAUGUUUACCAGAUGCCUAAAGAAUGUUUUGAAAAUGUUAGUUGUGUUCAUUAUGAUAAAAAUAUAAAAUGAUAGAGAGGACAUAAUAUGGCUUGUCUUCUUACUGUUGCAUUUUUGGUUAAUAUGCAUAAAUAACUUCAUAUUGCAAAGAGAAGAAUUGUAAUGUUUAAAGUUGUACGUGUAAUUUUGGACAAUUUAUUAAAGAUUUGAACUUACAUAUGAAGAACUAUAACGAAAUAAACAAUAGAGAUUUUUUUUAAAAAAACCAUUCAAUUAUUCCUUUUGCCCUUCUUUCUGUUUGAGUAAUUAUCCUCUUAAAAUUUUUCCCAAACCUUUUCAUGUCUUUUUAAUUCCCAAGUCCCCAAAUCAUCAAUUUGUUUUUCCUUCUUUCAACAAAAAAUACUUACAGGUUUUCCAACCUUUCAAAAAAAAACCAAACCUGUCAUUUUUUUCUCUGCUGAAAUUUGUCAGCCCCAGAAUUUCUGCAAGUCUAGUUAAUUUUAUAAUCCAAUCUUCUACUGUAGGCAUCUCAUUGCUCUUUCAAUUUUUUUGCAUACAAUAAUCUUGUCCUCUUUACCAUAUACAAUAAAAUUUCCGAUAUUUCUUUUCUAAUCCCUUGUCCAUAAAACUUAGUAUGAAAAAUUCUGGUUUUAUUUGUGAUGUUAGUCCAUCUCUUUUGCAUCACUAUAUGCACUAUAUGCAAUACCCCCUUUUUUCUUUCUUUUUGCAGACAUGCAGACUGUUCUCCAUACCACAAACAAUAAUGUCUAUGGCAAAGCACAAGAGAAAAACUUUUUUUGCUUGGGUUUCUUCAUGUGGAUUAGGUGUGACAGGGAUGUUACAAUUUGACUCUCCUUGGGUACAAACCUCCGGGAAUCACUGGAUAAUCCCCCAAACAAUGGCACAUGGUUUUUGUGUCUUGUAGAAAUGGGGCAUUCCUGGGUAGCCAUCCCAGGCUUCCAGAGAUAAAAUACCCACCCCCACAGCACAGCCCACUUUGUGUCCCAGCUCAACUAUUUGAUUUAGAGCAGUUUGUCAUUUCUUGGCUUUAAUAAUGAGUUUUUGGUUUCUCUAAUGCAUUGGGCCACCAGCAUUAAGUGUUCCAGAUACUGUUCUCAGAUGGUUGAAAAGAUAACCACAUCUUAUUUAUAUAAAGAAGUCAUUAAAAUCCAUUUGCCAGUCUUUUAAAGUUGUGAGAACAUUCUAAAGAUGAAGGUAACUUGUGAUGCAUGACAGCAGCUGAUUUCUUAUUUUUAUUUUUCUACCAAGGGCCCUUUCUGUUACCUUUUUGUGGAGUCCAUGUAGAAAUACAGUAUCUGACUGUCUUAGCUGCUCCAUCAUAUCAGUUAGCCUGGCUCUGUUUUCCUAGGUUCUCCACAGACCAUGGAGAAAAUUAUUCUGCCCCACUCGUCAAGCAUAGCAACCAGGAUGCCUGGGUAGAUCCAUGCACUCCAAGAGAGUCAAUUCACUCCCACUUUCUGUGUCUCCUCGGGUUUUUUUUUAAAUACUUGUGUAGCUAGGGGGCUACUGAGUAGUCCUUCGUGUACUCCAUAUCUAUAAUGGAGAUGACCAGAUUUAUUUAUUUCUUAGGGAUACAGGCCACUUCAGUUGUAGCUGAUGCUGAGAAUUCCACUUUUAUAGUAGUGGUUAAAACAAUACAUCAGAACAGUUUUAAUAAUCUCAUCUGAAUGUGAUGUGAAAAUAAUCUCAUAUAUAAACUGCUUGGUAGGGGAUCAUCUCCACUUCAAUCUCUGACCAGUCCUGCCGAACAGGCAGAGAUCUUGCCUGGAGCAGGCAGUCUCAAUGAUAGCCAGUUCCUAAGCCAAGAUUAAUAUGUUCUAUGAAUAGCUUAGCAUACUUGCACUACUGCUUGAGUAUCAAGGCAAGAACCAAUGACAUGUUUUCUAUUCCAAUCCAUGGCAAAAUCCCCAACAGGUGUCUAUUGCUAGUAUUAAGCACCACCAAAUACUAGGGCUUCAGGGUAUUCACAAGCCAGGCUUCAGUCUAGAUCCUUGAAACACUAUGUCAUAAUUCAGCUGUUCUACCUUUUCUUUAAUGUGAUAACAACACUUCCAUACUCUCAGCCCUGGAGGCCAUCUUUCUCUUUGGAUCUUCAGGGCUGCCACAUUUAGUGCACAGGCCUGCUGUGGGAAACUGGGAGGAGGGUUGCAUGGAGUGGGUAGAAAUAGAUAGCCAAAAUAACAUUCUUUUCUCUGGGAGUCAAGGACAUUCACCCUGCACCUAGAAAGGCAUGACUGGGACACAUCUCUAGUUGGGAUGAUGGAUUGAUUGGACCAAUGUGAUGGAUUUUUGGAUGCAGGGGAAGAGACUUUGACUGGGGAAAACCCAGGGUGCUUUCAGAUUCGGGUUUUCCCAAAUGUGCCAAUAUGACAUCUCUAAUAAAGUGGAACUUUGAGGAACUCCUGGCCCCGGAGUCUUAUUCAGUUGGAGGUAUUACUUGGAAACCUGACACAUACGGCUUGGACCUUGAUAAUCUGUAUUGGUCUGAGGAGCAACAUCUGAUUUUCUGGCUCAAAUGUGUUGUUAUAAGGUGCUCUGUAAUAGCCCUGCUAUUCUUGGAGGACUUCCCUCUCUCUAUAAACAAAUCAGGUUCAGAUCCCAUUGAAGUCAUACCAUUUGAUGGGCCUUAGGAAGCAUCCCUUUUCUGUUAUGGUGACUGCCUUGUGGAAUAGCCUUUCCCCUGGAUAGAAACAGCCCUGAUCCUCCUAGCCUUUCAGAAAGCAGUUUUUCCUCUUGUUCUACCAUCUCAUCUCAAUUUAAAAAAUCCCGUUGAUAGGCUUUCUACCUUUUCCCACCUUACUUCACCUCCUGGGAUAUCUUUGCUUCAGAGUAUGCACUUCAGGAUGAAGCAUUCAUUCUACAAUUAGCACUAAGCAUGGAAGCAGGAUUAUUUUACAAAACUAGAACAAUUCAGUAAUUGCAUUCAAGAGACUUUAUGCCAAACAGAUGAACACAAUCAAAGAAAAACAUACCUAUCUCCUCUGUUUUUAAAAUUUGCUCUUUGCUUUUGGAAUUAAAUUUGUCCUAGGCUAUUUUUAGGGCCUGGAAAAGACAAUCCCCCUCCCCAGCAUUAAGCAACCCCAAACCAUCCAAUCCAUCUACCAUUCAGAGGCCAGGGAAACCACUAGCAUUUCACAGUAUGUUACCAGUGAGGCCCAGAAAAUGCCAAACAAGGCAAGAUCUUCCUCCUGCAAAUCAGCAUCUAAUCAGCGCUGCUUCCAAGCUCUGCCUCUAGCUUUAAAAGGUGAGAGGAUUCAUUCAUCCGCUACAAGCAUUUAGCUUUUUUCAUCUCUGACCAGAACCUUUGCGUGCCAGUUGCCAGUACGUUCCUGUGGAAAUAGUUGUUUCGUCCCCCGGGAAAUAAAAGUUAAUAUUCCAAGCAGAUGACAGAUUAAACUGGCAUUUGGAUUUGAUUUAACAGCCAUGUAGUUUUGUUGAAGUUGCAUCAGUUGUUCAGCUGAUUAGAAGCUAGCUGCACAAGUGGCCAUUGGCCUUUAUAUAUGGAGUUUUUUAGUCUAUAAAACUAAUGUACCAUUGAUUUUUUUUUUUUUAAAGCUAUACAUUCAAUCCUUAUAAAAGGACUUGUAGCUGGCAAACUCCUGUAGUCCUACUGAAAUUAGUUUUGCCCAGUGUGCUUGAUGCUCAGCAGGUGCACUUUUACUGUCCCUUCUGGAAGAUGUAAUUGGCUCUUCAGAUAUCUGGCAGAUCUGAUUUUCAGCUGCUUUCGGAGAUAAUCAAUUCAAAAAGUCAACUACCAGAAUCUCAAGCAACUCCAGAAGAAGGAGAGAGUGAGGAGAGGGAUGAGACAAUAAGCAGAGUGAAAACGGCAGGAUGUAUCUGAAGAAGCCUUAAGAUCAGUUAUUUCAACUGCUGGACCUGUCGACACAUCCAAUGGCAAAAAAUUCUUUCCUGGAUAUAAUCAAGACUGGAAGAAUUAAUUCUAACCUGGAGAUCAAAGGCAGAGCUUAGUAGGAAAGUGGUGUGCAGAGCUCCAGAUUUAAGAUCAAUGUGAUUUGGCAGCCUUUUUUUUCUUUGAUAUCAGUUUCAAUAUGACUGGAAUGUACUCAAGGCAAAAUGCUUCAUCCCAAGAUAUUAAUCUUCCUCACCACCAGCCAGAUGGAGACCCUUUUGCAUCAAAACUCUCAAAGGAAGCUGACAUAAUCGCUGGAAUUUAUUUAUUAAUAAUAGGGAUCCUGUCCACUUUAGGCAAUGGAUAUGUUAUUUAUAUGUCAAUACAACGGAAAAGGAAGCUCAAGCCAGCAGAGAUCAUGACGGUAAAUCUAGCAGUCUGUGACUUGGGGAUUUCAGUGGCAGGAAAACCAUUUAGUAUCAUUGCAUUCUUCUCCCACCGUUGGAUCUUUGGUUGGAGUGGCUGCCGCUGGUAUGGAUGGACUGGCUUCUUCUUUGGAGUUGGAAGUCUUAUUACCAUGACUGCAGUCAGUCUGGACCGGUAUUUUAAAAUAUGCUAUUUAUCUUAUGGAAUCUGGUUGAAGAGACACCAUGCUUUUAUUUGCCUAGGGAUUAUCUGGUCUUAUGCUGCCUUCUGGGCCACGAUUCCCUUUGCUGGCUUGGGGAAUUAUGCUCCUGAGCCCUUCGGCACAUCCUGCACCUUGGACUGGUGGCUGGCUCAAGGUUCAGUGGCAGGGCAGGCAUUCAUUCUCAACAUCCUUUUCUUUUGCCUUGUAUUCCCAACUGCUGUGAUCGUGUUUUCCUAUAUUAAAAUAAUAGCAAAGGUCAAGUCAUCCAGCAAGGAUGUAGCUCAUUAUGACAGCAGGAUUCAGAAUAGCCAUGAAUUAGAAAUAAAACUAACUAAGGUGGCGAUGUUGAUCUGUGCAGGAUUUCUAUUUGCUUGGAUCCCAUAUGCAGUUGUAUCAGUAUGGUCAGCUUUCGGAAAACCAGAUUCAGUUCCCAUAAAAGUUUCGGUGGUGCCUACUUUGCUUGCUAAAUCAGCAGCCAUGUACAACCCUGUUAUUUACCAGGUCAUCAACUGCAAAUCAGCCUGUUGUCAUCGGGCGGCUCUUAGGCCACUACAGAAGAAAAACUCCUUGAAGAAAUCCAGGCUCUAUGUAGUCUCUACAGAAAAGUCUGAAGUAAUGACUGAAACUCAACUGGAUGUUGCCUGAAAGCUGGGAAUCCACACCUCUCCACCCAACCAGCCGGUUUCCUUCUCAGCUGCUUCUGCUCCAAAACGCUUUAAAAGUACGCCAGCUCCAUCUUGGGAAAUUAUUUUCCUCGCUUGUAUUUUCUCACAGGGUCCUAAUAUUAGUUCUUGCUAUUCCAAUCAAAGAUAUAUUUUUAAAAGUAACCAUUUUGUUUGUAUUUUAAUUAGGUAAAAAGUCUCCCUGCAUCAUUCUUAUUUUACAUAUUUUAAAGCGAUUACAAUGAAUACAGAUAAAUAGGUGUAUAGUACAUAGUAAUAGUAAACAACAUAGCAAAUUGGUGCUUAGAUUCCAUAUACUUUACCCUGUUGAUCCGUUGUCUUUCCUCUCAAUGAAAUGCUGCCAGCCUGUCAGCAACAGUCACAUGACACAGAGAAGCAACGGAUGUCUUUGGCCAAGAGCUGCAGAGCGAAGAGAGUGGCCAUUCCAUACUUUCUGCUUGGCCCUCCACUGGAAUGGACCACUUACUGCUUCUCCAGGGCAGGAAUGGAGGACGUCCUCCAUGUGGCCUGCUCCCAUAUUCUCCGCUUCAGUUCAAAACUGUUGUUUUCAGCCAGAGCAGUUUUCAGCUCUUCAGAGUAUAAUGAUCUCGAGCACUUUCUUCCAUUCUAGUCAUCGUCCCAGUUCUGCUUGGCUGCAAUGCCUGGCAUGUGCCCUCCCCUCCAGCAGCUGAUCACAUUUUGUCCUGGGCUGCUACUUUCUCAGCACUUUUAAUAAAUGCUAUUUCUAUUAAUCCAUUGAGGGCCUGUUAAAUCAAUGAGCUAUCCUCAAGCCUAGAAGUUUACAAUCCUUAUAUCUCCUGGUAAGCACUUUUUAGUUUCUGCCAGGCUGGGUGAAUCAUGCUUCCCUUGCUUUCCCAUCAUUGGUCCCCAGUUUUCCUUCCCCUUAUGUUUUUAACUUCUUUAAUUUACAACAAGGAAAAUAUUGCUGUAUUUUGUUUCCAUGAAACUAUGUAGAUCAAUCCACCCACCCCAAUCUAUUCCCUAUUGUUUUUAAUUGUAGUCUCAGUGCUAUGAUAGUACCUUAAGGGGGGAAAGUAAUAUAGAAAAGUGCUAUGGUAGUGUCAGAUAAGAUAAUGGGUUAUGCACCCAUGACAGAUCGCUCCAUACAAGAGAGAGCCUUCCCUUCCUUGUGUGGAUGAAAGGGGAAGAAGCAGGGGAAUGCCUGGUUGUGCAGGGCUUGAUCUGGACUAAGCAUCAUCCCAGCUUUGGCAAAUCCAAUUUUUGUAGUUGCCUGAAGAAGCAAUCACCAACAACAUGGUGGACAAGCAGCUAAGGCUACAGUGCAAAAUUGCCCAGAGCUAAUGGCUUUUAGCUACCGUCAUACAAGAAUCUACAGAAAUAUUAGGUCUAAUGUAUAUUAUGCCAUGUUGGGAAAGGAAGUGGUUCAAUUGCUCAACAGAAAAGUGAAAAUCUUGGCUUCAAAUCUUUAUUUACUUUUUUCAUUUAUUUAAAUAUGUUUAAUGAAAACAAAAGACGUGGCCAGAGCAGUUUUGUAAAAUAUUUUCACACGUGGAAUUGGUACUGUCAUAUCAAUUGUCAAUAUAUUCCUUCUAACAUAAUUAUACUGUGUAUGUUUCCCUUGCUCUAAUUUGGUUUGUGAUUUAUGAGUAACUGGACAUUGGCCAAGAUGGGCAUCCUCCUCUAAUGCUGUUAGACUGCACUUAUCUUGCCUGUGCCUGGGGGAAACAAGGAAAUGCACAAGGAAUCACCAUGUAUUUAACAAAGCUCAGUUACAUUUAAAUUUAGAUUAAUUCACCUGGUGAAGGGAAGCGGCUGUGCAGGCAGGAAAUGACUGCUGGAAGAAGCUAAAAAACCUGCACAAAUUUAGGAAAAGAUCCAGCUGCUUUAAUGAUUUAUGAAAAGGAGCAUCAUAUAGGUUCUGAAACAUCACUUUUGAAGACUGAAUAUUUCCAUCAACCUAAUAUUAGUAUUCACACAACUCCUGCAUAUUACUCUUAGCAUUUGCUGGACUUCUUCAAAAUCUAGAUUGCUUCAGAUGUGGUGUCUGGAUAUUGGGGAGUUUCUGAAUGUGAUUUUUCUUCACAUUGUGGUUGUGGGGAUUAGGCUGGAAUGUCCUUGGGUGCCUUUAUGCUAUUAUUGUGCUGACAUUAUUAUUUACUUACUGUACACUUACUAAGUGUAAUAACUUACUGCUACUGCUUGAUUUUGUUCUUUGUUGGCUUUACUCCAAUAUUCAUUACUCAGAGUUGCAACAGUGAGAUAGGUAGCUGUAUAAAUCAAUAUAAUAAAUAAUAAAUGCUAAGUUAACAAAACAUGGAGGGGAGAAAACCUUGAUUCAAACUAUGGACAGUUUACAUCAAGGUUUAGUUUUGGUUUGCAGUGGGUUUUUGUUUUUUCCUUUUGUUAUUUUGUUUAUUAAAAAUGUUUGAGGGAGAAAGAAGAGAACUGUAAACUAAUCUGUCACAGCCAGAAUAAUUUCAAAAUAAUUUUUAAAAUAAAGCAACAGAGGAUCUCUAAUGGAAACUUUUUUUUUUUGAAAAUUAGAUAAGUAUAGAAUACGACUUUAAAAAAUAAUGAGGAAUUGGAAGCAUACCUCAGGCAAAAAAAUUAAUCUGUGGUCAAGAAAGAACAGAACAACAAUACUGCCCCAAGAAUAUUACAACUUACUGUUGUAAGAGAAGAGAAUACUGUCUGCAGGAAAAAGUCUAUUUACCACUCUCCUUUGUGCUCAAAUUAGCCAGGGGAGAAGAUUAUAAUUUUAUUCCUUCAUACCUUUAUUUUAUUUAUUUUAUUUAUUUAUUUUGUCACAACAAUAUAUAUAGGUGUCAUAUAGGUAUCAUACAAAAGAUCUCUCUCUCUCUGUCUGUCUGUCUCUCCCUCCCUCCCUCCCACACCAUAUUUUGAGUUCAUGUUUGAGGAACAAACAUAGGAUCUGGUACAUCUAAAGAUUGCCUGAGUUGGCUACAGCUCAUCCAUCUAGAGCAGCCCCUUCCCUUCAACCCCCACAGAGGAGAAUGUCUCUUGCAUCCUGUAAUUCCAGGACAAUAGGAUUGCACAGGUUAGUGAAUGCUGGCUUAAACAGUAAUCUUUCCACAAGUGUCUUCUGUGGUAGAAUGGUCCAAGUCGUCCUUUUCCCAUUUACUGCCCCUCUUAAAUAAAAAUAUAAAACAGAUUUUAGAUUCAAUUAGAUAAUAUAUCUGACUCGACAGUAAUGAAUUCUGGUGAAUUCCAGUGAAUUCAUCUGCAUUGAAUAAGAGGGUUAUUUUCCUUUCUUCUUGGCUUUUUCCCCAUCUUAAACACAGAUGUACUUCUGCA